This 63-nucleotide small RNA is filed under the name unclassified sequences. RNAcentral describes it as "cow-rumen-4 RNA". It matches the Rfam family "cow-rumen-4 RNA". From Rfam's summary of the family: cow rumen metagenome. The record is from Rfam by way of RNAcentral.
ACAGAAUGAGAGAUAAGGAACUCUCUUUCUAAAUAUAUUUUCAAUCCAUAAGGAGGGAUUUGA